Molecule: long non-coding RNA, 458 nt
Organism: Lepidothrix coronata (blue-crowned manakin)
Lineage: Eukaryota; Metazoa; Chordata; Aves; Passeriformes; Pipridae
Exons: 4
Source: RefSeq, a predicted model, not a curated record
AGUGGAAGAGUUAUGACUUCCAUGCCUUUGCUGCCUAUCAGUUGAAAAGCCCAUAGUAUGAAAAGCCAAUUAAUUGAUAUUAUUUAAAGACUGCUUUUCAGAGGAGUUCUUUGUUGGAGGGACUGAAUCUCAACUCUGUGCUAAAUUAUGCACAAGAGUUAAGGGAGCCUUAAGCACAACAGGCCCUCGACCUCAGCUGUAGCCUCUAAUGUCACCAUAAUGAAGGCAAAUAAAUGACGAUAGGAAGAAAACCCACUUCAGUCACCGCCAGAGACAGAAGCCAAAACAAGAAAAAUCUUGUGAGAACAGACAUCCAGGGCCAAGCUGUCAAAAACCUUCAACAAGGAACUGAAUUGUCAACAGAGGUCCUCAUUUCACAGGUUUUUAUCAUCCCAGGGGAAAGCAAAGGAAGAUCUGACUGUGUCACAAGAACUGCUAAAUUCCUAGACUCACAGAAG